Anguilla rostrata (American eel) is the source of this 666-nucleotide long non-coding RNA. RefSeq lists it as uncharacterized. The transcript is spliced from 2 exons. Lineage: Eukaryota; Metazoa; Chordata; Actinopteri; Anguilliformes; Anguillidae. The record is from RefSeq and is a predicted model, not a curated record.
CAUGACAAGGAUUCGCUAAUGUGUGGUGAGCAUUCUGGCACAACAUGGCUGCCAUGCAUCACCCAGGUGGGUGCUACACAUUGGUGGUGGGUGAGAAGGACGGGCAAUCAUGUUUAUUCAUCAACCACAGUGCAAUGAAUGAACAGAAAUGUAUUUGAAGUCAUGAAGAAAACAUAAUUUCAGUCAAUGUAUAUUCAUAUACAUUUGUAAGGUUUCCAUACAAUUGCACAACAAUUAAGAAGUCCUUUUAUUCAGACAGAUGGGAAAACAUGCUUAUAUAUUUAGUAAAGAACAUUAAAAGAACACCACAGUGUUUUAAGACAUUUAUGAAGACAGUAUGAGGUAAUUCACACAAGACCCAAAUAUGUCCAAAAACUGCACAAAAAUGAAAACAUCCAAAAUAUGCUAUUUUUUCAUACUCAAUUGCAUACAAGUGAAAGGAGGAUUCAGAAGGAUGGGAAAACAUGUUUAUUCAUAAUCUACAGUGAAAUAAAUGAAUGCAAUUAUUUUUGAAAGCCUUUAUUGAGACAUUGUAAUUUCAUGGGAACAUUGAAAUACAUAAGACUUUAGUCCAAAAAAACAUGACAUUGUUUCAAUCAGUUGAAUGAGAAAACGUGUAUUUCAUUAACCGCAGUGAAAUAAAUCAAUGUUUUUUUGCUCUUUGAA